UAGAGCGGCGGACGGGUGAGUAACACGUGGACAAUCUGCCCCCCGGCCCGGGAUAGCCCAGGGAAACCUGGAUUAAUACCGGAUGAGACGGGACCCGCGAAGGCGGGACCCGGGAAAGGCGCUGCGGCGCCGCCGGGGGAUGAGUCCGCGUCCCAUUAGGCUAGACGGCGGGUAACGGCCACCGUGGCGACGAUGGGUAGCCGGCCUGAGAGGGUGACGGCACAUUGGAACUGAGACACGGUCCAGACUCCUACGGGAGGCAGCAGCUAAGAAUCUUCCGCAAUGGGCGAAAGCCUGACGGAGCGACGCCCGCGUGAACGAAGAAGGCCGUGAGGUUGUAAAGUUCUUUUCGGGAGGGGGAACAACCGUGGCAGGGAAUGGCCGCGGGAUGACGUGAAUCCCGGAAUAAGCCCCGGCUAACUACGUGCCAGCAGCCGC
RNAcentral lists this ribosomal RNA (438 nucleotides) under uncultured bacterium. RNAcentral describes it as "bacterial SSU rRNA". It matches the Rfam family "Bacterial small subunit ribosomal RNA", at positions 91 to 518 of the family's 1533-position model. The record is from RNAcentral.